Molecule: microRNA precursor, 230 nt
Filed under: Chlamydomonas reinhardtii
Lineage: Eukaryota; Viridiplantae; Chlorophyta; Chlorophyceae; Chlamydomonadales; Chlamydomonadaceae
Description: miR1159 stem-loop (cre-MIR1159)
Source: miRBase by way of RNAcentral
CGUCGACAAUCGGGCACUGUGGCAAACUGCGACAAUGCCAAUGGAGACGGAUGAGACCGUGUUAUUCCAGCAGCCGCGACUCCUGGAAUGGUCACGCGGCUGAGGCACCCUUGCUGGGUACCCCAGCCGAUGCCGAUGUUCCAGCCGCAGUCACGGCGGCAGCCACAGCACGGCCUCAUCCGUCUCCAUUGGCAUUGUACACCGUCUGCCACAGUGCCCGAUUGCCGCCG